GACGAACGCUGGCGGCGUGGAUUAGGCAUGCAAGUCGAACGGUAUCAUCCUUCGGGGGUGAGAGAGUGGCGAACUGGUGAGUAACACGUGGUUAUCUACCCUCAAGACGGGGACAACCCAGGGAAACUUGGGCUAAUACCGGAUGUGAGCAACUUUUAGUGUUUGAAAGGUGGCGUAAGCUGUCGCUUGGGGAUGAGCCUGCGUCCUAUUAGUUAGUUGGUGAGGUAACGGCUCACCUAGGCAAUGAUAGGUAGGCGGCCUUAACGGGUGGUCGCCCACACUGGGAUUGAGAUACGGCCCAGACUCCUACGGGAGGCAGCAGUCGAGAAUAGUCUACAAUGGUCGGAAGACUGAUAGUGCGACGCCGCGUGAACGAUGAAUCCCUUCGGGGUGUAAAGUUCUUUUAUAUGUGAGCAGUGCUUCUUAUAUUAACAGUAUGGGGAGAGAGAUAUUAGCAUAUGAAUAAGCAACGGCUAACUCCGUG
This 484-nucleotide ribosomal RNA is filed under the name uncultured bacterium. RNAcentral describes it as "bacterial SSU rRNA". It matches the Rfam family "Bacterial small subunit ribosomal RNA", at positions 28 to 507 of the family's 1533-position model. The record is from RNAcentral.